UGAGGAUGAAGUGAAGAUUCAAUUAGCCGAGGAGUCGGUAUGCACUGAUGCUUAAGUGUAUGUAAGUGAUGGCAAUCGGCAAUCUGUAAAUGUCGCGGAUGCAGAAUAUUGGCUACGGCAUGACUAAAUUUUGGCCUCAGGGCUGACAGGUUUAGUGACCUCUGAAGCUUCUAGUGCUGAUUCUCUGUUUCUACUAUGUACUCUGUGGACAAAAAAUGUAUUGUUCUU
Molecule: long non-coding RNA, 228 nt
Filed under: Hordeum vulgare
Lineage: Eukaryota; Viridiplantae; Streptophyta; Magnoliopsida; Poales; Poaceae
Description: long non-coding RNA (HVUL_LNC019603)
Source: RNAcentral